GCAGUCGAACGAUGAACCACUUCGGUGGGGAUUAGUGGCGAACGGGUGAGUAACACGUGGGCAAUCUGCCCUUCACUCUGGGACAAGCCCUGGAAACGGGGUCUAAUACCGGAUAUCACUUCCACUCGCAUGGGUGGGGGUUGAAAGCUCCGGCGGUGAAGGAUGAGCCCGCGGCCUAUCAGCUUGUUGGUGAGGUAAUGGCUCACCAAGGCGACGACGGGUAGCCGGCCUGAGAGGGCGACCGGCCACACUGGGACUGAGACACGGCCCAGACUCCUACGGGAGGCAGCAGUGGGGAAUAUUGCACAAUGGGCGAAAGCCUGAUGCAGCGACGCCGCGUGAGGGAUGACGGCCUUCGGGUUGUAAACCUCUUUCAGCAGGGAAGAAGCGAAAGUGACGGUACCUGCAGAAGAAGCGCCGGCUAACUACGUGCCAGCAGCCGCGGUAAUACGUAGGGCGCAAGCGUUGUCCGGAAUUAUUGGGCGUAAAGAGCUCGUAGGCGGCUUGUCACGUCGGGUGUGAAAGCCCGGGGCUUAACCCCGGGUCUGCAUUCGAUACGGGCUAGCUAGAGUGUGGUAGGGGAGAUCGGAAUUCCUGGUGUAGCGGUGAAAUGCGCAGAUAUCAGGAGGAACACCGGUGGCGAAGGCGGAUCUCUGGGCCAUUACUGACGCUGAGGAGCGAAAGCGUGGGGAGCGAACAGGAUUAGAUACCCUGGUAGUCCACGCCGUAAACGGUGGGAACUAGGUGUUGGCGACAUUCCACGUCGUCGGUGCCGCAGCUAACGCAUUAAGUUCCCCGCCUGGGGAGUACGGCCGCAAGGCUAAAACUCAAAGGAAUUGACGGGGGGCCCGCACAAGCAGCGGAGCAUGUGGCUUAAUUCGACGCAACGCGAAGAACCUUACCAAGGCUUGACAUACACCGGAAAGCAUUAGAGAUAGUGCCCCCCUUGUGGUCGGUGUACAGGUGGUGCAUGGCUGUCGUCAGCUCGUGUCGUGAGAUGUUGGGUUAAGUCCCGCAACGAGCGCAACCCUUGUUCUGUGUUGCCAGCAUGCCCUUCGGGGUGAUGGGGACUCACAGGAGACCGCCGGGGUCAACUCGGAGGAAGGUGGGGACGACGUCAAGUCAUCAUGCCCCUUAUGUCUUGGGCUGCACACGUGCUACAAUGGCAGGUACAAUGAGCUGCGAUACCGUGAGGUGGAGCGAAUCUCAAAAAGCCUGUCUCAGUUCGGAUUGGGGUCUGCAACUCGACCCCAUGAAGUCGGAGUUGCUAGUAAUCGCAGAUCAGCAUUGCUGCGGUGAAUACGUUCCCGGGCCUUGUACACACCGCCCGUCACGUCACGAAAGUCGGUAACACCCGAAGCCGGUGGCCCAACCCCUUGUGGGAGGGAGC
This 1390-nucleotide ribosomal RNA is filed under the name Streptomyces sp. RNAcentral describes it as "bacterial SSU rRNA". It matches the Rfam family "Bacterial small subunit ribosomal RNA". Lineage: Bacteria; Bacillati; Actinomycetota; Actinomycetes; Kitasatosporales; Streptomycetaceae. The record is from RNAcentral.